Molecule: ribosomal RNA, 678 nt
Filed under: Streptomyces sp. SAUK6065
Lineage: Bacteria; Bacillati; Actinomycetota; Actinomycetes; Kitasatosporales; Streptomycetaceae
Description: bacterial SSU rRNA
Rfam family: Bacterial small subunit ribosomal RNA
Source: RNAcentral
CAAGUCGAACGAUGAAGCCCUUCGGGGUGGAUUAGUGGCGAACGGGUGAGUAACACGUGGGCAAUCUGCCCUUCACUCUGGGACAAGCCCUGGAAACGGGGUCUAAUACCGGAUAACACUUCGUCCCGCAUGGGACGGGGUUAAAAGCUCCGGCGGUGAAGGAUGAGCCCGCGGCCUAUCAGCUUGUUGGUGGGGUGAUGGCCUACCAAGGCGACGACGGGUAGCCGGCCUGAGAGGGCGACCGGCCACACUGGGACUGAGACACGGCCCAGACUCCUACGGGAGGCAGCAGUGGGGAAUAUUGCACAAUGGGCGAAAGCCUGAUGCAGCGACGCCGCGUGAGGGAUGACGGCCUUCGGGUUGUAAACCUCUUUCAGCAGGGAAGAAGCGAGAGUGACGGUACCUGCAGAAGAAGCGCCGGCUAACUACGUGCCAGCAGCCGCGGUAAUACGUAGGGCGCAAGCGUUGUCCGGAAUUAUUGGGCGUAAAGAGCUCGUAGGCGGCUUGUCACGUCGGAUGUGAAAGCCCGGGGCUUAACCCCGGGUCUGCAUUCGAUACGGGCUAGCUAGAGUGUGGUAGGGGAGAUCGGAAUUCCUGGUGUAGCGGUGAAAUGCGCAGAUAUCAGGAGGAACACCGGUGGCGAAGGCGGAUCUCUGGGCCAUUACUGACGCUGAGGAG